RNAcentral lists this ribosomal RNA (254 nucleotides) under uncultured bacterium. RNAcentral's name for it is "partial 16S ribosomal RNA". It matches the Rfam family "Bacterial small subunit ribosomal RNA", at positions 524 to 776 of the family's 1533-position model. The record is from RNAcentral.
UACGUAGGUGGCAAGCGUUGUCCGGAAUUAUUGGGCGUAAAGCGCGCGCAGGCGGCCUCUUAAGUCUGAUGUGAAAGCCCCCGGCUCAACCGGGGAGGGCCAUUGGAAACUGGGAGGCUUGAGUAUAGGAGAGAAGAGUGGAAUUCCACGUGUAGCGGUGAAAUGCGUAGAGGAUGUGGAGGAACACCAGUGGCGAAGGCGACUCUUUGGCCUAUAACUGACGCUGAGGCGCGAAAGCGUGGGGAGCAAACAGG